CUGGGUACAGUUCAGUGGUAGAAUACUUGCCCAGCACAUGCAAGGCCCUGGGUUCAAUCCUCAGUGCCAAAG
This 72-nucleotide transfer RNA is filed under the name Marmota monax (woodchuck). Its description in RNAcentral is "tRNA.Ala". The record is from RNAcentral. Lineage: Eukaryota; Metazoa; Chordata; Mammalia; Rodentia; Sciuridae.